UGGAGACAGGCAAGAAAAGAGACAAGGAAGGCAGCUGGAAUUCUCUUUGACCAGCCUAGAGGCGAGGAAAGAAGCAGAAGCAGAGGUAGAAAAGGGAAAUGGAAACCUUACCCAACAUCAAGAAGCUGUGAAAUGACAGAGAAAUUUACUAUGAGGGGAAGUAAAUUCAAGAUGUUCAGAAACAAAUUCACAAAGAGAUGAAGACCAUUG
Molecule: long non-coding RNA, 210 nt
Filed under: Gorilla gorilla gorilla (western lowland gorilla)
Lineage: Eukaryota; Metazoa; Chordata; Mammalia; Primates; Hominidae
Description: lncRNA (ENSGGOG00000044468.1)
Source: RNAcentral